GGGCCUGUAGCUCAAUGGUCAGAGCCGUCGGCUCAUAACCGAUUGGUUGUAGGUUCAAGUCCUGCCGGGCCCACCA
This 76-nucleotide transfer RNA is filed under the name Rhizobium ruizarguesonis. RNAcentral's name for it is "tRNA-Met". It matches the Rfam family "tRNA". From Rfam's summary of the family: Transfer RNA (tRNA) molecules are approximately 80 nucleotides in length. Their secondary structure includes four short double-helical elements and three loops (D, anti-codon, and T loops). Further hydrogen bonds mediate the characteristic L-shaped molecular structure. tRNAs have two regions of fundamental functional importance: the anti-codon, which is responsible for specific mRNA codon recognition, and the 3' end, to which the tRNAs corresponding amino acid is attached (by aminoacyl-tRNA synthetases). tRNAs cope with the degeneracy of the genetic code in two manners: having more than one tRNA (with a specific anti-codon) for a particular amino acid; and 'wobble' base-pairing, i.e. permitting non-standard base-pairing at the 3rd anti-codon position. The record is from RNAcentral. Lineage: Bacteria; Pseudomonadati; Pseudomonadota; Alphaproteobacteria; Hyphomicrobiales; Rhizobiaceae.